This 220-nucleotide long non-coding RNA is filed under the name Elaeis guineensis (African oil palm). Its description in RNAcentral is "long non-coding RNA (EGUI_LNC032579)". The record is from RNAcentral. Lineage: Eukaryota; Viridiplantae; Streptophyta; Magnoliopsida; Arecales; Arecaceae.
AGAUCCAUUUAUACCCAAUGGGUAUAAUAUCCUCAGGUGGAUCCACUAAGGUCUAUACUUAGUUCGAGUGUAAUUUCUGACUUCAUUGCAUCUAAUCAUUUCUCAAAAUCAAUGUCAGACAUCAUCUCAUCAAAGGUAUUAAGAUCAUCAUUAUGACUCUUAUCUCCUGUAAGGAAUAUUUUUUUACUUCCUUCGUAAACAUACCGAUGUACCUUUUAGG